This 471-nucleotide ribosomal RNA is filed under the name Mycolicibacterium tusciae. RNAcentral's name for it is "bacterial SSU rRNA". It matches the Rfam family "Bacterial small subunit ribosomal RNA", at positions 121 to 606 of the family's 1533-position model. Lineage: Bacteria; Bacillati; Actinomycetota; Actinomycetes; Mycobacteriales; Mycobacteriaceae. The record is from RNAcentral.
GUGAUCUGCCCUGCACUUCGGGAUAAGCCUGGGAAACUGGGUCUAAUACCGGAUAUACCUCAUGGACUGCAUGGUUUGUGGGGGAAAGCUUUUGCGGUGUGGGAUGGGCCCGCGGCCUAUCAGCUUGUUGGUGAGGUUAUGGCUUACCAAGGCGACGACGGGUAGCCGGCCUGAGAGGGUGACCGGCCACACUGGGACUGAGAUACGGCCCAGACUCUACGGGAGGCAGCAGUGGGGAAUAUUGCACAAUGGGCGCAAGCCUGAUGCAGCGACGCCGCGUGAGGGAUGACGGCCUUCGGGUUGUAAACCUCUUUCAGCAGGGACGAAGCGCAAGUGACGGUACCUGUAGAAGAAGCACCGGCCAACUACGUGCCAGCAGCCGCGGUAAUACGUAGGGUGCGAGCGUUGUCCGGAAUUACUGGGCGUAAAGAGCUCGUAGGUGGUUUGUCGCGUCGUUCGUGAAAACUCACA